RNAcentral lists this microRNA precursor (210 nucleotides) under Oryza brachyantha (malo sina). RNAcentral's name for it is "MIR812 microRNA precursor family". It matches the Rfam family "MIR812 microRNA precursor family". Lineage: Eukaryota; Viridiplantae; Streptophyta; Magnoliopsida; Poales; Poaceae. The record is from Rfam by way of RNAcentral.
AUUAAGGUUAUUUUUUAGUUUUUAGAUACAAUGUUUUAACUUUUUAUCUUAUUUGAAAUAUUUUUGCGAUUAAUAAUUUUAUUGUUACUAGAUGAUAAAAUAUAAAUAGUGCUUUAUGCGUGACUAAUUAUUUUUAAUUUUUUAUACAAAAUUUUUAAAUAAAACAAAUGGUCAUAGCGUUAGACAUAGAAAUCGAAAAAUAAAGUUAUU